Long non-coding RNA from Ostrinia nubilalis (European corn borer), 2647 nucleotides. RefSeq lists it as uncharacterized. The transcript is spliced from 4 exons. The record is from RefSeq and is a predicted model, not a curated record. NCBI's taxonomy places the organism in Eukaryota, Metazoa, Arthropoda, Insecta, Lepidoptera, Crambidae.
UAUCGACAAAACUUAAAGAUUGGCCGGGACAGGGUCUCCUUGUUGGUGAACCAUCGUUUAAAACGCACAGAUUUAACUCGUCUAUAAGCUCCACAAGAUCACUACCAAAUGAAUCAUUGACUGGUGCACCCCAAAGAGAAUGGUGUGCAUUAAAAUCACCUAAAAUUAACACAGGCGCAGGAAGAGAUAGGAUUAAAUUUCUUAAAAUCGGAAUAACAGAUGAAUCUUUGCAAGAAAUGUAUACAGACAGUACUGAAAUAUCCCCAAUUUUUGCAGCUACUGCAUUCAAGUGAUUAUUAUUGUAGGAAGGAAGUGCUAGUGAUGUAAAUAAGUAAUGUUUUUUAAUCAGUAGAGCGGCACCACCCCACCCAUCAUCUCUGUCAUCUCUCAAGACUGAAUAGCCACGAACUCUAAAGUUAUAGCCUGGCUUCAGCCAGGUUUCAGAGACAGCUAUGGCAAAUGGCUGGUGUUGGUUAAUUAAUGUAAUGAGUUCAAUUGUUUUAGACGAAAUGCUUCUACAAUUCCACUGGAGGAUUUGAUCCAUUUUUGAUAAUGUUAUAAAUAGAGACUGACAAGUUGUUAAUUAAAGAAAUGGCAACGGAGUACGGUAAUGCAGAGUUAACUAUAAUAUUAAUCAAUGAAGACAGCAGAUUAUUUAGAUCCUGAGAGGAGACAGAGUGAGAGUCCCCCGCAGAUGAGGGCUCAGACAAGAAACCACAACCAUUUUGUGGAGAUGGAAUAUGAUCAAUUAAAGACUCGUGUGCUUUCUUGUCAUAGCCUGGUUUUGAAGGUGAAGGUGAUUUGGGAGAACUAGCUGUGACAUCUGAGUAUGACUUAGUGAAUGGAAACUGUUUAGAGGCUUCUAGAUAUGAUACUGUGUUAACUGACAUAUAAUGCUUUAUGUUUUUUUGUCGUAUAAAUUCGGGACAGGUUUGUUCAUUUGCUUGAUGUUUCCCUGCACAAUUAAUGCAGGAAAUAUCUGUCUCGUCGCAAUUAGAGCCUGAGUGGUCCCCGGUGCAUUUAAAGCACCUGGGUUUGCUUCUGCAUUGAACCCUGGUAUGUCCAAAACGACAACAGUUAAAACACUGAAUUGUUGGGAAUAUGUACUGGUCAACAGGCAGUGAGGAAAAAAAGGAAUAAAUUCGGGGAGGAAGAGCUUGACCAUCGAAUGUAAGGACUACCGUCUGAGUGGGCAACCAUUUAGGGCCUUCAAGUGAUGUAACUUUGCGGCUAAGCCGGCGAGACCGAAUGAUUGGACCAAAGCCUUCAGGAACUCUUAAAUUUCCUACAAUCUCUUCAUGCGACCAUUCGCAGGGAAUGCCUUUGACAAUGCCCAUUUUGGUGAUAUUGUAUGUUGGGAUAGAUAAAACAUAAUCAUGUAAUAUAAUUGGAUUACACAAAAAUGAGUUUGCCGCACCAGGUGUUUUGAAUGUCACUGCCAAUCGAUUUCGCCCUAUUCGUUUAAUGCCAUCAUCCAAAAUAUUUUUUAAUUUAUUUCUGAAUAGAAAAUUCCCAAAUUUGAUGGGGUGAAGAGUGGAGCCAGAGUUGGGAGUUUCUUUUUGUUGGACAUGUACCAGAAAAGGACCUGCAUCCUGAUCCUGGUAAUUGUUUCUGCCUAUUAUAUGGUUAUUCUGUUGAGAAUGUUGGAUCACCGGAGCUGGAGGAGCUUGCGUUAAAAUUUCUUGAAAAGCAGUGGUAAUGUGCAUUUUAGGAGAGGAUUUGGUCUUUAAUAAAUGUUUGUUAAUUUUUUUCUGAGUUUUUCUAUUUGUUACUAGUUUAAAUGACUCAAAUUCUUUUACAUGUUGGUUAGAUAUGAAAUUAUCAGCCUCUAUUAAGGUCAAUAAAGGAUUGGACUGAGAUUGUGGAGUGGCUGGGGGAGGAUCAGGGUCAGGAGCUGGUUCCGUCUCCAUAGUUUAUAAAUAUGCAAAUGGACUUACCCCUAUAUAAUAUAUACACUAAUCACACUAAAUUACUAAUUUACAACAAUUUUUUAACAAAAUAUACACAAACUAACAAUAAAAUACGAAUUAAAUAAAAACAAAUAGACCGCCCUUUUCAACUUCCCGCCAAAAAGUCCUGUCAAAAAUUGUAUCUAAAUUUGUAUUGUUUAUUUCUUGUCAUUGCGACUUUGACGCAGCUGUUGUCAUGACAACAGAUAACAAAACAUGUUUUGUUGAAGGAUUAUUGAUGAAUAAUUUUCCACAAAAAAUUGGAUUUUAACCACGAUAGGAAAAUGAGAACCUGCGCCUAUCCGUUUAAACCGAUUGUAGAAUUUAUGGAAAGAUAUGGCGAUCUGAGUAUGCCCACUGAAGGGCACCAAGAAAGAGCCAACAAUAGUCAACGGUGGGUGGAACUAACGGACACGCGAACGUGAAAUGCUGAUGCCACCGGCGACACGAAAACUACUGAGAAAUUGAGAAAAGUGUGGAGUGACAUUAAACAGCAAGAAGAAGGCAACUCGCAUACACAGAGCUGCCAAGGGAACACUGGACUGGUGGCGCUCCAGGUUCUUCCCUGAAGCCAAAGGGAUUAGAGCAGAGUGCUUACCUACUUGUAAAUUAAAUCCAUAAUAAAGACCUAGGGUAACUGGAUGGAUAUACCUACCUUAUUAUUGUAAAACUUAAGAUAUUAUAAUUAAUUAAAUACA